GACGAACGCUGGCGGCGUGCUUAACACAUGCAAGUCGAACGGACAUGCCCUGCUUUUGUGGGGUGCUCGAGUGGCGAACGGGUGAGUAACACGUGAGUAACCUGCCCUUGACUUUGGGAUAACUUCAGGAAACUUGGGCUAAUACCGGAUAGGAGCUCCUGCUGCAUGGUGGGGGUUGGAAAGUUUCGGCGGUUGGGGAUGGACUCGCGGCUUAUCAGCUUGUUGGUGGGGUAGUGGCUUACCAAGGCUUUGACGGGUAGCCGGCCUGAGAGGGUGACCGGCCAAAUUGGGACUGAGAUACGGCCCAGACUCCUACGGGAGGCAGCAGUGGGGAAUAUUGCACAAUGGGCGGAAGCCUGAUGCAGCAACGCCGCGUGCGGGAUGACGGCCUUCGGGUUGUAAACCGCUUUCGCCUGUGACGAAGCGUGAGUGACGGUAAUGGGUAAAGAAGCACCGGCUAACUACGUG
This 468-nucleotide ribosomal RNA is filed under the name uncultured bacterium. Its description in RNAcentral is "partial 16S ribosomal RNA". It matches the Rfam family "Bacterial small subunit ribosomal RNA", at positions 28 to 507 of the family's 1533-position model. The record is from RNAcentral.